GUACAGAGGGGGCAAGCGUUAUUCGGAAUUAUUGGGCGUAAAGGGCGCGUAGGCGGCCUGACAAGUGGAAAGGUGGAAAUCCCUCCGGUCUUAACCCGAGGAACUGCCCUCCAAACUGUCUGGCUUGAGACCGGGAGAGGUGGAGUGGAAUUCCCAGUGUAGCGGUGAAAUGCGUAGAUAUUGGGAGGAACACCAGUGGCGAAGGCGGCUCACUGGACCGGUACUGGACGCUGAGGCG
RNAcentral lists this ribosomal RNA (238 nucleotides) under uncultured bacterium. RNAcentral describes it as "partial 16S ribosomal RNA". It matches the Rfam family "Bacterial small subunit ribosomal RNA", at positions 523 to 753 of the family's 1533-position model. The record is from RNAcentral.